Molecule: long non-coding RNA, 534 nt
Organism: Parus major (Great Tit)
Lineage: Eukaryota; Metazoa; Chordata; Aves; Passeriformes; Paridae
Exons: 3
Source: RefSeq, a predicted model, not a curated record
UUUUGUUGACACGUCUGCUCUUGGGAAUGAAUUCCUAAGCACCAGCCUACACUGGCUCAACAGGCUCAACUCUGCACCAGCAAUUUCUCUUGUCAGGAAAGAAAGCACAAUCAAAAAUAUAAGAAGAGAUUGCUCCUCCUUUUGAUGCAGUAAGCAGAGCUGAUUGAAGGUUUCAGAAUACCUUUGUUUCGUUUGUUUGCUGGAAAGCCAAACUGGUUGUGCAUAAAAGGAAUUCACUUAGAACUCAGUGAAUCAUAGAAUAUUCUGAGUUGUAGUGGACCUAUGAAGAUCACUGAGACCAACUCCUGGCCCUGCACAGGUCACCCCAAGAUCAUGGGUCUGAGAGUGUUGUCCAAACACUUCUUGACCUUUGUCAGGCUUGGUGCUGUGACCACUUCUCUGGAGAGCCUGUUCCAGUGCCCAACCAUCCUCUGGGUGAGAACUGUCUCCUGAUAUCCCACCUAAAUCUCCUCUGGCACAGCUUCACACCAUUCCCUUGGGUCCUGUCAGUGGUCACCAGAGAGAAGAGAUCAG